This 397-nucleotide ribosomal RNA is filed under the name uncultured bacterium. RNAcentral's name for it is "partial 16S ribosomal RNA". It matches the Rfam family "Bacterial small subunit ribosomal RNA", at positions 523 to 918 of the family's 1533-position model. The record is from RNAcentral.
AUACGUAGGGGGCGAGCGUUGUCCGGAAUGACUGGGCGUAAAGGGCGUGUAGGCGGCCGAUUAAGUCUGGAGUGAAAGUCCUGCUUUCAAGGUGGGAAUUGCUUUGGAGACUGGUUGGCUUGAGUGCGGAAGAGGUAAGUGGAAUUCCCAGUGUAGCGGUGAAAUGCGUAGAGAUUGGGAGGAACACCAGUGGCGAAGGCGACUUACUGGGCCGUAACUGACGCUGAGGCGCGAAAGCGUGGGGAGCGAACAGGAUUAGAUACCCUGGUAGUCCACGCGGUAAACGAUGAAUGCUAGGUGUAGGGGGUAUCGACCCCUCCUGUGCCGGAGUGAACACAAUAAGCAUUCCGCCUGGGGAGUACGGCCGCAAGGUUGAAACUCAAAGGAAUUGACGGGG